AACGCACAUUGCGCCCCUUGGUAUUCCGAGGGGCAUGCCUAUUCGAGCGUCAUUAUCACCCCUCAAGCUCAGCUUGGUGUUGAGGCCUGCUGUCAAGGCAGCCUCUAAAAGCAGUGGCAGUGCUGUCAGGCUCUAAGCGUAGUAAUCUCUCUCGCUACAGACACCUGAUGGACGCUCGCCAGAACCCCCCCAUCUUUUAAUGAUUGACCUCGGAUUAGGUAGGGAUACCCGCUGAACUUAA
This 241-nucleotide unclassified non-coding RNA is filed under the name uncultured Ascomycota. RNAcentral's name for it is "sequence contains ITS2". Lineage: Eukaryota; Fungi; Ascomycota. The record is from RNAcentral.